ACAUGCAGUCGAACGAACCUUCGGGUUAGUGGCGGACGGGUGAGUAACGCGUGGGAAUCUGCCCUCAGGAGGGGGAUAACGGCUGGAAACGGCCGCUAAUACCCCAUAUGCCGAGAGGUGAAAUGAAUUUCGCCUGAGGAUGAGCCCGCGUCUGAUUAGCUAGUUGGUGAGGUAAGAGCUCACCAAGGCAUCGAUCAGUAGCUGGUCUGAGAGGAUGAUCAGCCACACUGGGACUGAGACACGGCCCAGACUCCUACGGGAGGCAGCAGUGGGGAAUUUUCCGCAAUGGGCGAAAGCCUGACGGAGCAACGCCGCGUGAGGGAUGAAGGCCUCUGGGCUGUAAACCUCUUUUCUCAAGGAAGAAGAUCUGACGGUACUUGAGGAAUAAGCCACGGCUAAUUCCGUGCCAGCAGCCGCGGUAAUACGGGAGUGGCAAGCGUUAUCCGGAAUUAUUGGGCGUAAAGCGUCCGCAGGCGGCCCUUCAAGUCUGCUGUUAAAAAGUGGAGCUUAACUCCAUCAUGGCAGUGGAAACUGUUGGGCUUGAGUGUGGUAGGGGCAGAGGGAAUUCCCGGUGUAGCGGUGAAAUGCGUAGAUAUCGGGAAGAACACCAGUGGCGAAGGCGCUCUGCUGGGCCAUAACUGACGCUCAUGGACGAAAGCCAGGGGAGCGAAAGGGAUUAGAUACCCCUGUAGUCCUGGCCGUAAACGAUGAACACUAGGUGUCGGGGGAAUCGACCCCCUCGGUGUCGUAGCCAACGCGUUAAGUGUUCCGCCUGGGGAGUACGCACGCAAGUGUGAAACUCAAAGGAAUUGACGGGGGCCCGCACAAGCGGUGGAGUAUGUGGUUUAAUUCGAUGCAACGCGAAGAACCUUACCAGGGUUUGACAUCCUGCGAACCUCUUGGAAACGAGAGGGUGCCUUCGGGAACGCAGUGACAGGUGGUGCAUGGCUGUCGUCAGCUCGUGUCGUGAGAUGUUGGGUUAAGUCCCGCAACGAGCGCAACCCACGUCUUUAGUUGCCAGCAUUUAGUUGGGCACUCUAGAGAGACCGCCGGUGAUAAACCGGAGGAAGGUGUGGAUGACGUCAAGUCAUCAUGCCCCUUACAUCCUGGGCUACACACGUACUACAAUGCUACGGACAAAGAGCAGCAAGUUCGCGAGGACAAGCAAAUCUCAUAAACCGUGGCUCAGUUCAGAUCGUAGGCUGCAACUCGCCUACGCGAAGGAGGAAUCGCUAGUAAUCGCAGGUCAGCAUACUGCGGUGAAUACGUUCCCGGGCCUUGUACACACCGCCCGUCACACCAUGGAAGUUGGCCACGCCCAAAGCCGUUACUCCAACCCUCGGGGAGGGA
RNAcentral lists this ribosomal RNA (1350 nucleotides) under uncultured Cyanobacterium sp. RNAcentral's name for it is "bacterial SSU rRNA". It matches the Rfam family "Bacterial small subunit ribosomal RNA". The record is from RNAcentral. Lineage: Bacteria; Bacillati; Cyanobacteriota; Cyanophyceae; Chroococcales; Geminocystaceae.